AGCGAACGCUGGCGGCAGGCCUAACACAUGCAAGUCGAACGGAUCCUUCGGGAUUAGUGGCGGACGGGUGAGUAACACGUGGGAACGUGCCUUUUGGCUCGGAACAACUCAGGGAAACUUGAGCUAAUACCGGAUGUGCCCUUCGGGGAAGGAUUUAUCGCCAUUAGAGCGGCCCGCGUCUGAUUAGCUAGUUGGUAGGGUAAAGGCCUACCAAGGCUACGAUCAGUAGCUGGUCUGAGAGGAUGAUCAGCCACAUUGGGACUGAGACA
Molecule: ribosomal RNA, 269 nt
Filed under: uncultured bacterium
Lineage: Bacteria
Description: partial 16S ribosomal RNA
Rfam family: Bacterial small subunit ribosomal RNA
Source: RNAcentral